Molecule: ribosomal RNA, 440 nt
Filed under: uncultured bacterium
Lineage: Bacteria
Description: bacterial SSU rRNA
Rfam family: Bacterial small subunit ribosomal RNA
Source: RNAcentral
GAUUAACGCUAGCGGCAGGCCUAAUACAUGCAAGUCGAACGGCAGCACGGGUAGCAAUACCUGGUGGCGAGUGGCGCACGGGUGCGUAACACGUAUGCAAUCUACCUUUAACUGGGGAACAACCCCUCGAAAGAGGGGCUAAUACCGCAUAACAUCAUGAGGUGGCAUUAUCUUAUGAUCAAACUUACGGGGGUUAAAGAUGAGCAUGCGUCCGAUUAGCUAGUUGGCGGGGUAACGGCCCACCAAGGCAACGAUCGGUAGGGGGUCUGAGAGGAUGAUCCCCCACACUGGUACUGAGACACGGACCAGACUCCUACGGGAGGCAGCAGUAAGGAAUAUUGGACAAUGGAGGCAACUCUGAUCCAGCAUGCCGCGUGCAGGAUGAAGGCGCUCUGCGUUGUAAACUGCUUUUACACGGGAAUAACUCCGCCAUUCUUGGC